ACACCGUUGGUGAAGUGGUUAUCAUGCUUGCCUUCCAU
This 38-nucleotide transfer RNA is filed under the name Moniliophthora perniciosa FA553. RNAcentral's name for it is "tRNA-Gly". The record is from RNAcentral. Lineage: Eukaryota; Fungi; Basidiomycota; Agaricomycetes; Agaricales; Marasmiaceae.